Molecule: ribosomal RNA, 253 nt
Filed under: uncultured bacterium
Lineage: Bacteria
Description: partial 16S ribosomal RNA
Rfam family: Bacterial small subunit ribosomal RNA
Source: RNAcentral
GACGAAGGUGGCGAGCGUUGUUCGGAAUCACUGGGCAUAAAGCGCGCGUAGGCGGUGACGUAAGUCGGGUGUGAAAUCCCUCGGCCUAACCGAGGAACUGCGCCCGAUACUGCGUUGCUUGAGGACCAGAGGGGUGCAUGGAAUUUCCGGUGGAGCGGUGAAAUGCGUUGAUAUCGGAAGGAACUCCGGCGGCGAAAGCGAUGCACUGGCUGGUUUCUGACGCUGAGGUGCGAAAGCCAGGGGAGCAAACGGG